Long non-coding RNA from Catharus ustulatus (Swainson's thrush), 1997 nucleotides. RefSeq lists it as uncharacterized. Lineage: Eukaryota; Metazoa; Chordata; Aves; Passeriformes; Turdidae. The record is from RefSeq and is a predicted model, not a curated record. The transcript has 4 exons.
CCGGUCAUCGCCACCUCCGGGCAGGGGCCGGCGCCCCGCCGAGCAGUGCUCGGCUUUGUUCUCCCCGCCCGAGCAGGAGGCACCAUUAGAAAUAAAUGUAACGAUUACCCAGCUUUUUUUUUUUUUUUUUGCUUUUUUUUUUUCUUAACUGUUGUCAUUGUGCACAGGAAAUAGGACGUUCUAGAUUUCCUGUCAUUUUAAACCACAAACCAGCAGUUCUCUAAUGCAGAUUAGCGAAAUUCACACAGACUAAGCACACGCCGUCUCGUUCCCAAAAAUGAAAAACCUGUUUCCCCGACCCCCUUCCACGCUGUGAAUCGCUCAUCCGCCUCCUGCAUCCUCACUGAAACACAGGGUGGGGGCAAGGGAGGGAGCAAGAGAGGGUGUUCGCUCUCCUCGCUUGCCACGGGAGGUGAAGCAAACCCUCACCGGGCACAUCCCGGCACGUACGGUCGGUCGCCUGCACGCCUUUGCCCGUGCAGGGUGAACACGGAGGAGGCUGCUCCCGCCGACAGCCGCGCUCCAGCCGCCCUUCCCACGGCGUUAUGACUUACUUUCUCUCCAGCAUUCUUCAGUUUCCUACAAGGUCCUUGGAAGAGGGCUGACAUCCUGCAGGACAAAUCUGGGUCUCACUGCCAGAGAGCUACGGCUGAUUGCUAACGUGUCAUGUCAAGUACAGGCUAUGGUGUGGUGGACUGGAGGCUUUGAGAGAACGGCGUGCAAGCACAGAGCUUUAACACAUCUUAAAAGGAAAGAAAGAAGAGAUUCAUGAUGCCAACAUCUUCAACUCCUUUACAGGGUCUCUGAUUUUCGCUCCCUGACCUGCAUUCCUUGCUGUAAAAGCUCCCCAUUCCCACGAUUUAAGCACAUGCCAAAACAAGCUGCCAAUUACACUGGUCUUAGUGCAAGGUGGCUCCGAAGACACUGCCUGUGAGCAGAAUCUAGCCCUCCAUAGCAAAGAGGUUGCUGUGCAAACUCAGAGAUGAGCAGUAUUUCCUGACUUAUGACAUCUCAGCCAUUUUUCUCCCUCAUCUUUCUCCCUCACUCCAGAGCAGGAGCACAGCUUUGCAAGCCACAAGUCCCUGCAGCAAGGUCCACACACGCGCCAGUUGUUGGGAUUCAGUUCCUGUGGUUUUCAGGAAGGACCACAGACUGGAAAAAUCACUGGGCUGUGAACAGUGGACCCCUCUGCUAAUGAGAGCUCAUGAAGGACGCAUUCAUUUCCCCUUCACUGAGAGGCCCUGGCAAAGCUGUGGAAGGUGACUUCAGGCAAGCCACAGAGCAUGGCUUUUUGACCCCGGAUGCACUGCAUCCAUCUAGUUCACUGCUCCUCUGAUUCAGACCCAGCUUCAAGCAUUGAGGGAUUUUCCCAAGAAUGUGGAAUUUUUAUGGCUCUGUCACAUUUUGCGACAAGCUUCCAGAUUGUCUAAGAUCCCCCUGUCAAGUUCAAUUUUUCAGGCUCUUUGUGCAAAAGUGAUACCUAAUGGAGGAGCCUCUCCAGUGUGUGCACAAGCAAGGAGUAAAGAAUACACAACAUACAACCCAUAAAUAGAGAUGCUUUGGAGGCUUUUUAAACAUUCAUGCUUUUUGCAUAAUUGAUAACUUUCCAUAACAGAUACAGAUGAUAAACAGCUUCAAAUAAAAUGAAAAUUUAUCGUUGUCAUAUCAUUUAUCAGCAUUAUGUUAAACUGUAAAGUAUGGGAAGAAUAUCGCCAUGUUCUCAAAUGAAACUGGUGGAAGUGAGAAUAAUUCAGGAGCUGCAUCUUUGCAUUCAUCAGGCUUUUUGAUGAGAUUGCCAGCAGCCAAGAAGCUGUGCUAGAAUCUAGGAGCCAGAGAAAGAAUUGUGUGUCAUUGCAUAGUCACCAUAAGUCACUGAGCAUCUCCUCUGCAGCACCAAAGACUAAAAAUGGGUAGGACUACCAUGUAGUGCUCAUCUUCUCUAAAGUGGACAGCUACAGCCAACCAAAACUCCCAGGCUCCCAUUAUGCUCCACAGAG